This 429-nucleotide ribosomal RNA is filed under the name Verrucomicrobiota bacterium. Its description in RNAcentral is "Verrucomicrobia bacterium partial 16S ribosomal RNA". It matches the Rfam family "Bacterial small subunit ribosomal RNA", at positions 355 to 776 of the family's 1533-position model. Lineage: Bacteria; Pseudomonadati; Verrucomicrobiota. The record is from RNAcentral.
UAGGGAAUCUUCCGCAAUGGACGAAAGUCUGACGGAGCAACGCCGCGUGAGUGAAGAAGGAUUUCGGUUCGUAAAACUCUGUUGUUAGGGAAGAAAAAAUGUAUAGUAACUAUAUACAAAAGAGACGGUACCUAACCAGAAAGCCACGGCUAACUACGUGCCAGCAGCCGCGGUAAUACGUAGGUGGCAAGCGUUGUCCGGAAUUAUUGGGCGUAAAGAGCUUGUAGGCGGUUCGUCGCGUCUGGUGUGAAAGCCCAUCGCUUAACGGUGGGUUUGCGCCGGGUACGGGCGGGCUAGAGUGCAGUAGGGGAGACUGGAAUUCCCGGUGUAACGGUGGAAUGUGUAGAUAUCGGGAAGAACACCAAUGGCGAAGGCAGGUCUCUGGGCCGUUACUGACGCUGAGGAGCGAAAGCGUGGGGAGCGAACAGG